GCCGGGGUGGUGGAAUUGGUAUACACGCAUGGUUUAGGACCAUGUGCCGCAAGGCGUGCAGGUUCGACCCCUGUCCCCGGCACCA
Molecule: transfer RNA, 85 nt
Filed under: bacterium
Lineage: Bacteria
Description: tRNA-Leu
Rfam family: tRNA
About the family: Transfer RNA (tRNA) molecules are approximately 80 nucleotides in length. Their secondary structure includes four short double-helical elements and three loops (D, anti-codon, and T loops). Further hydrogen bonds mediate the characteristic L-shaped molecular structure. tRNAs have two regions of fundamental functional importance: the anti-codon, which is responsible for specific mRNA codon recognition, and the 3' end, to which the tRNAs corresponding amino acid is attached (by aminoacyl-tRNA synthetases). tRNAs cope with the degeneracy of the genetic code in two manners: having more than one tRNA (with a specific anti-codon) for a particular amino acid; and 'wobble' base-pairing, i.e. permitting non-standard base-pairing at the 3rd anti-codon position.
Source: RNAcentral